This 506-nucleotide ribosomal RNA is filed under the name uncultured Glomus. RNAcentral's name for it is "SSU rRNA". It matches the Rfam family "Eukaryotic small subunit ribosomal RNA", at positions 569 to 1079 of the family's 1831-position model. The record is from RNAcentral. Lineage: Eukaryota; Fungi; Glomeromycota; Glomeromycetes; Glomerales; Glomeraceae.
AGCAGCCGCGGUAAUUCCAGCUCCAAUAGCGUAUAUUAAAGUUGUUGCAGUUAAAAAGCUCGUAGUUGAAUUUCGGGAUCAGUACGCUGGUCAUGCCUUUGGUAUGCACUGGUGUCACUGGUUUCUCCCUUCUGAAGAUCCGUGAUGUCAUUAAUUUGGUGUCGCGGGGAAUCAGGACUGUUACUUUGAAAAAUUAGAGUGUUUAAAGCAGGCUCACGCUUGAAUACAUUAGCAUGGAAUAAUGAAAUAGGACGUUUGACCCUAUUUUGUUGGUUUCUAGGAUCGACGUAAUGAUUAAUAGGGAUAGUUGGGGGCAUUAGUAUUCAAUUGUCAGAGGUGAAAUUCUUGGAUUUAUUGAAGACUAACUACUGCGAAAGCAUUUGCCAAGGAUGUUUCAUUAAUCAAGAACGAAAGUUAGGGAUCGAAGACGAUCAGAUACCGUCGUAGUCUUAACCAUAAACUAUAGCCGACUAGGGAUCGGAUGAUGUUAAUUUAUAAUGACUCUA